Molecule: unclassified non-coding RNA, 329 nt
Filed under: soil metagenome
Description: partial contains 5.8S ribosomal RNA, internal transcribed spacer 2, and large subunit ribosomal RNA
Rfam family: 5.8S ribosomal RNA (bases 1-120)
Source: RNAcentral
GAUGAAGAACGCAGCGAAAUGCGAUAAGUAAUGUGAAUUGCAGAAUUCAGUGAAUCAUCGAAUCUUUGAACGCACAUUGCGCCCCUUGGUAUUCCGAGGGGCAUGCCUGUUCGAGCGUCAUUAUAUCCCCUCAAGCUCAGCUUGGUGUUGGGGCCUGCUGCACUGGCAGCCCUUAAAAUCAGUGGCGGCGCCAUCUGGCUCUAAGCGUAGUAAUUCUUCUCGCUAUGGAGUCCUGGUGGAUGCUUGCCAUCAACCCCCAAUUUUUCUAUGGUUGACCUCGGAUCAGGUAGGGAUACCCGCUGAACUUAAGCAUAUCAAUAAGCGGAGGA